This 276-nucleotide ribosomal RNA is filed under the name uncultured Lachnospiraceae bacterium. Its description in RNAcentral is "partial 16S ribosomal RNA". It matches the Rfam family "Bacterial small subunit ribosomal RNA", at positions 66 to 339 of the family's 1533-position model. Lineage: Bacteria; Bacillati; Bacillota; Clostridia; Lachnospirales; Lachnospiraceae. The record is from RNAcentral.
AUGAAGUUUUCGGAUGGAUUUAAAGCAGCUUAGUGGCGGACGGGUGAGUAACGCGUGGGUAACCUGCCUCACACUGGGGGAUAACAGUUAGAAAUAGCUGCUAAUACCGCAUAAGCCCACGGUGCUGCAUGGAACAGUGUGAAAAACUCCGGUGGUAUGAGAUGGACCCGCGUCUGAUUAGGUAGUUGGUGAGGUAACGGCCCACCAAGCCGACGAUCGGUAGCCGACCUGAGAGGGUGAUCGGCCACAUUGGGACUGAGACACGGCCCAAACUCC